UUUAAUAUGGCAGAUUAGUGCGAUGAACUUAAACUUCAUAUAUAAAGUUUCUACACUUUUAUUAAAA
RNAcentral lists this transfer RNA (67 nucleotides) under Pheidole flaveria. RNAcentral describes it as "tRNA-Leu". It matches the Rfam family "tRNA". From Rfam's summary of the family: Transfer RNA (tRNA) molecules are approximately 80 nucleotides in length. Their secondary structure includes four short double-helical elements and three loops (D, anti-codon, and T loops). Further hydrogen bonds mediate the characteristic L-shaped molecular structure. tRNAs have two regions of fundamental functional importance: the anti-codon, which is responsible for specific mRNA codon recognition, and the 3' end, to which the tRNAs corresponding amino acid is attached (by aminoacyl-tRNA synthetases). tRNAs cope with the degeneracy of the genetic code in two manners: having more than one tRNA (with a specific anti-codon) for a particular amino acid; and 'wobble' base-pairing, i.e. permitting non-standard base-pairing at the 3rd anti-codon position. The record is from RNAcentral. Lineage: Eukaryota; Metazoa; Arthropoda; Insecta; Hymenoptera; Formicidae.